Molecule: ribosomal RNA, 526 nt
Filed under: uncultured bacterium
Lineage: Bacteria
Description: bacterial SSU rRNA
Rfam family: Bacterial small subunit ribosomal RNA
Source: RNAcentral
UGGGGAAUAUUGGACAAUGGGCGCAAGCCUGAUCCAGCCAUGCCGCGUGAGUGAAGAAGGCCCUAGGGUUGUAAAGCUCUUUCAACGGUGAAGAUGAUGACAGUAGCCGUAGAAGAAGCCCCGGCUAACUCCGUGCCAGCAGCCGCGGUAAUACGGAGGGGGCAAGCGUUGUUCGGAAUUACUGGGCGUAAAGGGCGCGUAGGCGGUCUGUUGCGUCAGGUGUGAAAGCCCCGGGCUCAACCUGGGAGGUGCACUUGAUACGGGCGGACUGGAAUCCGAGAGAGGAUGGUGGAAUUCCCAGUGUAGAGGUGAAAUUCGUAGAUAUUGGGAAGAACACCGAUGGCGAAGGCAGCCAUCUGGCUCGGUAUUGACGCUGAGGCGCGAAAGCGUGGGGAGCAAAACAGGAUUAGAUACCCUGGUAGUCCACGCCGUAAACGAUGUGUGCUAGCCGUCGGUCAGCUUGCUGUUCGGUGGCGCCGCUAACGCAUUAAGCACACCGCCUGGGAGUACGGCCGCAAGGUUAAAA